This 492-nucleotide ribosomal RNA is filed under the name uncultured bacterium. Its description in RNAcentral is "partial 16S ribosomal RNA". It matches the Rfam family "Bacterial small subunit ribosomal RNA", at positions 29 to 507 of the family's 1533-position model. The record is from RNAcentral.
AGUGAACGCUGGCGGUAGGCCUAACACAUGCAAGUCGAACGGCAGCACAGUAAGAGCUUGCUCUUACGGGUGGCGAGUGGCGGACGGGUGAGGAAUACAUCGGAAUCUACUUUUUCGUGGGGGAUAACGUAGGGAAACUUACGCUAAUACCGCAUAUGACCUACGGGUGAAAGCAGGGGAUCUUCGGACCUUGCGCGAUUGAAUUAGCCGAUGUCGGAUUAGCUAGUUGGCGGGGUAAAGGCCCACCAAGGCGACGAUCCGUAGCUGGUCUGAGAGGAUGAUCAGCCACACUGGAACUGAGACACGGUCCAGACUCCUACGGGAGGCAGCAGUGGGGAAUAUUGGACAAUGGGCGCAAGCCUGAUCCAGCCAUACCGCGUGGGUGAAGAAGGCCUUCGGGUUGUAAAGCCCUUUUGUUGGGAAAGAAAAGCAGCAGGUUAAUACCCCGCUGUUCUGACGGUACCCAAAGAAUAAGCACCGGCUAACUUCGUG